Pelobates cultripes (western spadefoot toad) is the source of this 872-nucleotide non-coding RNA. NCBI's taxonomy places the organism in Eukaryota, Metazoa, Chordata, Amphibia, Anura, Pelobatidae. The record is from the annotation of a GenBank genome assembly.
CCUAGUGUUCCUAGCAGAGUAGGAACCUGCUUUCCCCACAUUGCAGGUGCCUACUCUGCUAUAAUUUACCUGGCCAGGGAGGAGGGGACGGUGGAUGCAGCGAGGGAGCUCAGUGUUCCUGCUCCUCACUGCUUUCUGGCACGUGCCUUCUGUAGUGUUGCCAGGCGCUGGGAUAUGACGUCCAGAGAGAAGAUCCCCACUAGACCCCAGGAAUAAUUACAAUAAUGUGUGUGUGUGUGCGCGUCUGUCUGUGUUUCAGUGAGUGUGUGUCUGUCAGUGAGUAUAUCUGUGUGUCUGUCAGUGUGUAUGUCUGUGGGUCUGUAAGUCUGUCUGUCAGUGAGUGUGUCUGUAAGUGAGUGUGCGUGUGUGUCGGUCAGUGUUGCAAUGGCUGGACAGUGGAGGACCUGGAGGUGCACGGAGGCACGCAAUGCUACAUCACAUUCCAACGUGACGUCAACAUGCUCCACUUUCACAGGGUGUCAAGAAGUAGCGGGAGGAUCCGCUUUGGCACAGGGUGCGGACGGUGCCAUUUGGGAAUUACCAGAGGCCGGGCUCCGAAGUCGCAUACUGGCAGCAGCAAUGCGAGUGGAGCCUGCUUGUUGGCUAGUGGGGGGUGCUGGGAUUUAGUAGAGGGGGGGACUGGGAUUUAGUAUUGCUAGACUUUGAGUUUGACAUGCUUGGCUUAAAGCAACAGCUGAUUGCUUUAUGCCAACCAGCAUCACACCAGCCUGGCAGCAGUCAUUGCUUCCUCUACCUGAAUUUCAGAUAAAGCCAACUUUUGUGAUUGUGAACAGUUUAACCCCUACAGGUAAGGAAGUGCCAGGAACCUCCUGGCACCAUAACCACUUAAUUUCAAUGAAGUGGUUAUGGUG